ACGCUCGACCCUACGGAGGCAGCAGUAGGGAAUCUUCCACAAUGGACGCAAGUCUGAUGGAGCAACGCCGCGUGAGUGAAGAAGGUCUUCGGAUCGUAAAACUCUGUUGUUAGAGAAGAACACGAGUGAGAGUAACUGUUCAUUCGAUGACGGUAUCUAACCAGCAAGUCACGGCUAACUACGUGCCCGCAGCCGCGGUAAUCUGAGCGGGCUGGCAAGGC
Molecule: ribosomal RNA, 221 nt
Filed under: uncultured bacterium
Lineage: Bacteria
Description: partial 16S ribosomal RNA
Rfam family: Bacterial small subunit ribosomal RNA
Source: RNAcentral